Leptidea sinapis is the source of this 411-nucleotide long non-coding RNA. RefSeq lists it as uncharacterized. The transcript is spliced from 3 exons. Lineage: Eukaryota; Metazoa; Arthropoda; Insecta; Lepidoptera; Pieridae. The record is from RefSeq and is a predicted model, not a curated record.
AGACAGUCGAAGUAGGUUUAUAAUACUACUACUCGUCUCGAAGUCUCUUCAUUGUGUGACACGUUGAUAGAAGGAAAUAAAACCACUAGCCAUGAAACUAUUACUUUUUAUUACAGCGAUCUUAUCAAUCGUUGCUUGGGCAAGUGCUAAAUCAAAACUCUUCUGUGAAUUAGCGUGCGAUUCUUUAUACAUUCCUGUCUGUGCCACUAAUGGACAGACAUAUAGAAACAGAUGCAUAUGUGACUGUCGCGGUGCAACAUUUGCCCACAAAGGCGUUUGCAAAGCUGAUGCAGAACCUAUUGUGGAUGAUUCAUCUACUGAGAGCUAGUAAGGAACUAGAAGAUUACAUUGUGAAGCAAAUAAAAUAUCAUUUUUAAAUUCGAAAGAAAAUAUACAAAUAAAUAAUUUGAA